RNAcentral lists this long non-coding RNA (868 nucleotides) under Numida meleagris (helmeted guineafowl). RNAcentral describes it as "lncRNA (ENSNMEG00000018463.1)". Lineage: Eukaryota; Metazoa; Chordata; Aves; Galliformes; Numididae. The record is from RNAcentral.
GAGCCUCUAACGGCCGCUCAGCCGUAGCUCCUGAAUGCCCGUGGCUGCUCCCGAGCUGUGCGUGUACCCCCGGGGAUGCUGUGGGGCGGGCUGGGUUUUGCCUGCGUGGCCUCUUCCCAAGAGUGCCAAGGGAGACGAGAGCUGGCAGCACACUUCCUUUUCCGUCCUCAAUGCCGAUGUCAUUUUCUCAAGUGGACCUUGUUCCCACAGCUCUCUGAUGACACCAAACAGCACAGCGAGGCUGAGAGCAUGGAGAUGACCCACUGCAUCCUGCUGCAGGCCCGCAUCUGCCCAGAGGAAACGGUCCCGUUUCUGCAGUCGCAGCUGGGCGAUGAGAGGGAGUCCAGACGCGUGGCAGCCCUGGGUCUGCUCGGAGCUCUGGCUCGCUCAGAUGGUCAGUACCACGGGUCGGGACUUCCGGGGAUCCCUUUGUCCAUCUGGGUUGUGCCUCCACGCAUGCUUCUGCGCAUCUCUUCCAGAGCCCGUGAUGGCAGAGAAGCUGCCCCAGGUUGUGGAGGCUGUGCAGUGCCUGUGCGGGGACCCCAGGACCCAGGUGAGCUGGUUUGGGAAGGGAAAGCGCUGUCGGGGUGGUGAUGCUGCUGCCAAAAGGGGCAGGGCUGGGGUGCCCGGGGAAGUGCUGGCACAUUGCCCACACGGUCGCCAUGGCUUCUGCUGGGGGGAGCAGGCAGAGUGGAGUGGGCAGGUCCCCGUGCUGUGCAUGGAAAGCGCCCAGCCUGGGGCUAAGGCCUGACCCAUACCUCUGAAGCCCAGGCUUCUCCUCUGCUCUGGUUGUCUCCGCGCACAACCAAAGGGCCCAAAAAAUCAAAACCACCACUGACCCCUGGCAGGUGAGGAGGGCCGUACUGCA